CGGUUGAUCCUGCCGGACCUGACUGCUAUCGGAUUGAUACUAAGCCAUGCGAGUCUUUGUAGCAAUACAAGGCAGACGGCUCAGUAACACGUAGUCAAUCUACCCUAUAGACGGGGAUAACCUCGGGAAACUGAGAAUAAUACCCGAUAGGUCAUUAUGCCUGGAAUGGCUUAUGACUCAAAUGAUUUAUCGCUGUAGGAUGGGACUGCGGUCUAUCAGCUUGUUGGUGAGGUAAUGGCCCACCAAGGCUAUAACAGAUACGGGCUCUGAGAGGAGAAGCCCGGAGAUGGGUACUGAGACACGGACCCAGGCCCUAUGGGGCGCAGCAGGCGAGAAAACUUUGCAAUGUGCGAAAGCACGACAAGGUUAAUCCGAGUGUUCUCUGCUAAAGAGAUCUUUUGUCAGUCCUAAAAACACUGAUGAAUAAGGGGUGGGCAAGUUCUGGUGUCAGCCGCCGCGGUAAAACCAGCACCUCAAGUGGUCAGGAGGAUUAUUGGGCCUAAAGCAUCCGUAGCCUGCUCUGUAAGUUUUCGGUUAAAUCCAUAUGCUCAACAUAUGGGCUGCCGGGAAUACUGCAUAGCUAGGGAGUGGGAGAGGUAGACGGUACUCGGUAGGAAGGGGUAAAAUCCUUUGAUCUAUUGAUGACCACCUGUGGCGAAGG
This 661-nucleotide ribosomal RNA is filed under the name uncultured archaeon. Its description in RNAcentral is "bacterial SSU rRNA". It matches the Rfam family "Archaeal small subunit ribosomal RNA", at positions 5 to 672 of the family's 1478-position model. The record is from RNAcentral.